Molecule: small RNA, 89 nt
Filed under: Spermophilus dauricus (Daurian ground squirrel)
Lineage: Eukaryota; Metazoa; Chordata; Mammalia; Rodentia; Sciuridae
Description: 7SK RNA (ENSSDAG00000006405.1)
Rfam family: 7SK RNA
About the family: 7SK was discovered as an abundant small nuclear RNA in the mid-70s but a possible function has only recently been suggested. Two independent studies have found that 7SK RNA binds the CDK9/cyclin T complex (known as elongation factor P-TEFb).
Source: RNAcentral
GGAUGUGAGGGUGAUCUAGCUGCCCAUUGAUUACCAGGGCUAUUGGUCUGAUCUGGCUGCCAGGUGUCCCUUUCCUCCUUGACCACUCC